UCUGGAUGGCUUCCCUUCUCUCCAAUGUAUUGACUGCACCACUCAGCUUGGUGUCAUCCGCUAAUUUGCUGAGGGUGCACUUGAUGCCAUCAUUUAUAUCUCUGAUGAAGAUGUUGAAGAGUACCGGUACAAAGACCAACCCCUGCGGGACACCGCUUGUGACCAGCCUCUACCCUGACACAGACCCAUUGAUCACAACCCUUUGGCUGCGUCCAGACAGCCAGUUCCUAAUAUACUGAACAGUCCAUCCUUCAAAUCCACACCUCUCCAAUUUAUUCUGAAACCAGGCAGGUGAAUAUUUUUGGAGUGUACUGUGCUUCCAGACUGCACAGAACAAGAGUUUUUCUUCUUCAUGUUGGAACAGUUGUUCCUAAUAUUAUUGAGAAGCAUUUGAUUCCACAAGAGCUGUGUGUGAAGCAGGUAACAAUUUUAUAUAAACAAAUACAUUAUUCUCAUUUACUUCUUUGCAUGAAUCAUAAACAACUACAAUUUUGAAUUUAUUUCAGUUACUGCUAUUACUUCCUUCACAUGUGCUAUUAGAAUUUGUCAAAUUAUGUUUGUUCUCCUAACUGUGAUUUAAAUGUAAGGUAACUUCAAAUAUACUUCGAAAUUCUCCUGUAUAAUUAUUUAAAUGGAGAUAGGCUUUAUCAGUACCUCUUUUCAGUAAAAGAAAGUCCUUUUUAAUUGCACAAAGUAUGCGUAAAUAUCUCAGCCUUCCUAAAUUCUCACCAUUUUCUUUUGAGAAAGUAGCAUUAUUCAUUUGAAAACAGAUAGAAAAAUAUUGUAUUCACAAAUACAAUAACCCACCAAUGCAAAUGUUGGUUGUUUUUUUUUGUUUGGUUUUUUUUGUUUGUUUGUUUUUUGUUUUUUUACAGCUUCUGUAUCUUGUUCAAAGCACGUUUUUUUUUUUUUUAAUCCUAUGCAUCUCAUAAGAUGUGAGUCAUUUCCUGAAAAAAAUGUACCUUUUUUUUUCCUAACUGUGUGGCAGAGGAAGAAGUUUACAUAAAUAUGUAGUAUAAUAGUUAAAUUUAGAUUAGAAUCCAACUUCCCAGAACGAAGACUUCUUUUUAUGUUAUUACUUUCACCAAUAACUAUCCAUCAAAAAUUACUUCAAAUAAAACGUUAAAGGAAGUCUGACUGAGAGACUUGUUUAAGCUUUAGCAAUCUGCUCCAAACUCAUUAAUGACCAAAGUGCUCCUAUCUUCAAUGCUUGCAUCUUUAGGAAAAGUCUAUGGAAUUUCAGUGUGAUGAUAUGAAUAUACUUGCCUUUUUUGAAAUGGAAAUGCAAAUUUCCAUUUAUACAUCCUACAACUUAGUUUUAAUAUGGAAAGAUCUUACUGAUCUGAUCAGCACAAGUAAAAAAAUUACUGAUUAGUAUUGCUAUACAUCCAUAUACUAUUUUUUUAAUGCAGUGCUAGCAACAUCAUUAACAUCUGCAAAGCUCAUGGAAGGGUCAGAAUUCCUGCUGUUUUCCAUAACUACUGAAAUUAAAUAAAAAUCAUUAAACUGAAAGAAAAUUACUUCUGAAUAGACUGUACUCUGAGAUUUUCAAAUGAGAGUCCACAGUAGUCAUAGUUACUAAAUACUACUGCAAUGGGCACUUCUUGCACCAUUUCCAAUAAAGCAUAACAUGUUUAGCUGAUUUGCUAAGAAAUGAAGGGUGGAAGGAUUGUAUACAAACCCCCAUACCUAGUCUCCAGAAAACUGCUACUCACAUUCUGUGGCUUUGAGACUCCUCGUGGAGUCAGGUAUUUGUCUAUCAUAUUAAAUAAGUAGUUCUAUAACGAACAGUAAAUUGAGGAGCACCAAGCAUGAGGUAGGCAUUAGUAAUCAGGAGGAUGAAGUUUAUUGAUUGGACAUACUAUAAAAUGCAACCAGAGUAACUGUAUCAAAUCAAAUGGUUUUUUGUUCUGUUUUCCUGAUCAAGAAUUAAGUUUAUCCUCUCAGCAGAGAUAUUACUGUUAGAGAACUCAGGAUCUAAAAGUGGUUAUUUUUUUCCUGAAAGAUGGAUCAUUUGUAAAUUCAAAUUCUUUGUUGGCAGUCUAUGGUGAAAGGUGAAAUAUUUGCUUGGUGGAAGGAUUAAAGAAGGAUGUGUUCAUUCAUGGUACUGUUAUAGGAAAAAAAUCUUGAGUCAAUGGAACAUUUUGUCUCCAAAGAAUUACUAUUGAGUUCAGUGGAUAAUUAGAGGUCUAAACACGUGCUGUUGGAGCCAGAUGUAUUCUGGACUACCUCAGACCUGAGCAAGGUAAGUACGAAACUUUGUCAAGUUACAGUGGGAACUUUCCAUGCUGCCUUCCUAGGGGAACUAAUCCCAAGCAGAAGGUGACAUAGUGGAAAUGCAAAGCUGUGACCUGUGGCUCAUGAGAACAAGCCCCCUGGAAUGAAACAGUCUGGAGCACUUCAUUUUUGCUUUAUCUUGUCUUCCUGUCUGCACCACAAACAGUCUUUUAAACCUUUACAGCAUCUUUAUAGCCAAAUAAUAAAAAGCUCUACCAGGGUGUUGGUUACAGAUGGGAACAAUGAGCCCUUGGUGAUCUGAUUCUUCUCAGAUCAAUGUAAAUUAGGAUUAAUUCCACUGAAGUCACUGGGAAAAAAAUCUAAAGCCAGUGAAAGUGGAGAAUAAAGUUUUAGAUUUCAGAUCUAAGUUAAACAAAAAGAUCAAGUUGCCUAAUAGGGGUUUUCCUUACCCAUUUAAAGUAAUAAUCAUUUCCUGUUUAUUUUUGGUUUUGUUUUGUAUCUUUCCCCUUACUGUGAAUCUAUCUGAUUUGCAGCAUACUGUGAAUACACAUAGCAUACUGAGAAUUUCUCUACCAUGGUAGCCUUGCUAUUUCAGUGCUAUAUCACUGCAACCAUGCAGUGAUGUUAUUCACUAGCUCUGUUUGUAGCAGCCUUCAAGAGCCUCAUGGGAUCCAUUGUGAAGAGGAAGAUCAUUUAACCUUUAAUCAACCUUAUGUGCUGGCCCAGCCUUGAGAAACCACACUAUGAACACAUUCCAGGAUCUCCUUACUUUUUGGGAAAGAAGGUACGGAUCUUCUAGGCCUACUGACACAGAAGAGAGGAUACGUGCCCAACUGUAGACAUAAAGCUGUCUUUGGGAACAGGAGACAGGAUGCGGCAGAGGGUAAAAGCUACUGGGAUAGCAAACAUUGAAAAAAUGGAUCCAAAAGAGAGCCAGUUUGGGCUGCUUGAGAAGAAAGGACUGUGCUCCGAUACACAGUUGUGGAGAAUUGUUUCCACAAUACGGAAGUGCUGGUAUUCUGCAGUUCAGUCUGCAUUAUUAAACAGUGGAGUGAGGGAUAGCCAGGCAUCAACAAAGCAAUGCAGCUUUUACCAGUGAAAAUAAAUUCUGCUCACUAUGCACACAGCAUUUAGACACAGCAGCAAGUGGCAAUGUCAACAUCACUUAUUCACUAAUUAUUAUAUAUUUAUUACCAUUAAUAAAGCUCUCUUUGAUGUUUGAA
Long non-coding RNA from Gallus gallus (chicken), 3461 nucleotides. RefSeq lists it as uncharacterized. NCBI's taxonomy places the organism in Eukaryota, Metazoa, Chordata, Aves, Galliformes, Phasianidae. The transcript is spliced from 2 exons. The record is from RefSeq and is a predicted model, not a curated record.